CCAAAGGCUCUUUUAAGAGCCACCCACGAGUUCAAAAAGAGCUGUU
Molecule: non-coding RNA, 46 nt
Organism: Chelonia mydas (Green sea turtle)
Lineage: Eukaryota; Metazoa; Chordata; Testudines; Cheloniidae
Source: Rfam